CAAUAGCGUAUAUUAAAGUUGUUGCAGUUAAAAAGCUCGUAGUUGGACCUUGGACCUGGACAGGCGGUCCGCCUCACGGCGUGUACUGUCUUGCUGGGUCUUUCCUCUUGGUGAUCUGUUGUUUCGGCAGCAGGGAACCAGGACUUUUACUUUGAAAAAAUUAGAGUGUUCAAAGCAGGCUCGACGCCGGAAUAUAUUAGCAUGGAAUAAUAAAAUAGGACGUGCGGUUCUAUUUUGUUGGUUUUUGGAAUCGCCGUAAUGAUUAAUAGGGACAGUCGGGGGCAUUAGUACUCACAUGCUAGAGGUGAAAUUCUUGGAUUUUGUGAAGACUAACCUCUGCGAAAGCAUUUGCCAAGGAUGUUUUCAUUAA
This 370-nucleotide ribosomal RNA is filed under the name uncultured eukaryote. RNAcentral describes it as "partial 18S ribosomal RNA". It matches the Rfam family "Eukaryotic small subunit ribosomal RNA", at positions 592 to 976 of the family's 1831-position model. The record is from RNAcentral.